GGAGCCCAAUGCGUCGGAGAUUCCUCGGAAUCAAAUGACUCUCGGCAAUGGAUAUCUCGGCUCUUGCAUCGAUGAAGAACGUAGUGAAAUGCGAUACUUGGUGUGAAUUGCAGAAUCUCGUGAACCAUUGAGUCUUUGAACGCAAGUUGUGCCCGAGGCCUUCUGGUCGAGGGCACGCCUUCUUGGGCGCCAUGGCAUCGUCGCCUUUGC
This 210-nucleotide ribosomal RNA is filed under the name Boesenbergia kingii. RNAcentral describes it as "5.8S ribosomal RNA". The stretch from base 37 to 192 matches the Rfam family "5.8S ribosomal RNA". From Rfam's summary of the family: 5.8S ribosomal RNA (5.8S rRNA) is a component of the large subunit of the eukaryotic ribosome. It is transcribed by RNA polymerase I as part of the 45S precursor that also contains 18S and 28S rRNA. Lineage: Eukaryota; Viridiplantae; Streptophyta; Magnoliopsida; Zingiberales; Zingiberaceae. The record is from RNAcentral.